UGUUCGAGGAAGUUAUAUGAAAUAACAGGUGAUAUUUCUUUGUUGCCCUUUGUGAUCUCAAUACAUAUAUAUAGUAUAUAGAUAAACGGGGAAAGCGACAGAUUUAGAUAUGAAGUUAAGUCAUGUUCCGUUGACCCUGUGAGGAGCUUAUUGUCAGUUUGACUCGCCCAAAUGCAGAAUAUACACCAGCCAAACAUCAGAGAAAGCAGAGAGAGACAUGGUGAACAAGUUAAAGUUUCCCUCAGGAUGAAGAACUGACACAGAAGAAGCGUGAGGAGAGACUGGAGAUGAUCCCAUAGAAUAUGCCAUGAAGAGAAAAGUGAGUGCAUGAAUACUGGGAUCUGUUUUUUUUUUUUUUUUUUUACCUUUACCUGGACAUAAACAAGGUUAAGUUCUUAAUUCUUUACAAAUCAUAAAUAAUUUGAGUAUGGAUCUGCCAUUUCAGUUGUUAAUGGAUAUUACAUUUACCCAAGAAAAGUAUCAGGUUGCUUAUUAACAGACCAGUGAAGAAGAUGAGGCUGUAAAAUUACUCCAGCUAAGAAAAGAGGGGGCGGAGUCAAAGAUACACAUUCCAGGGGAGGAGGGGCUUAUUGUAUCUUGGCUUAUUGCCCAAUAUGAGAGUGAUGAUGAAGCCACACCCAAGAGCAGGAUGUGUGAUGAGGACGCAUUGCUGUCGCCCAGUGGUAGAGCAUUGUGUUAGCAGCGCAAAAGAAGUUGAUUUUGAUUGUACAUCAAACCGAUCUUCUCUGUGUUGGAGGGACUUCUCUACACACUCGGAGGUAAAGUGGGUCAGAAUUCGAACAGUCAGUCCUGCCAUGCAGGAAGCGAGUGCUGACCAUCAAUGACUUCCUGUUUAAGGCUCCAGCUAUUACACUGACGCAGGAUUAUUUAUAUAAUAAUCUGUUUGGACUUGUGGAGAAAUAUGAAGGUAGUGGUGUAAACACACACUCGAGAUCUGAGAACGAAGAGAACCGUCACACAGAAGGACUGGGACACUUCCUGCAGACGCUUCAGAACAGACCUCCAGAUGUUUCAGAGCAGCAGAUGGCAGUAGAAGACAAACCAAUCAUGGUUUCUCCAAUGAUGCUGCUGAAGGUUUCCUGUUUGCCCUCACAAAAGCCAACAUAGACGGACGAGUCGUGAUGCAAAGACAGGAUUGUUGAUUUUAAAGAGCAGCUUCUUUUUUCCGCUGGGGGUCACAGAAGACCGUAUUUUAGAGUUCUCUUGUGGUCACGUCAUACCCCCUGUGAGUAUCCUACCCAUAGUGCUUAGCGCAGGCCCCUCAGGACAACAGUUGGAGUUCACUUUUCAAACUAGAGACACCCACAGAUGGUAAAACGUACAUGAGCAAAUUAAAACUACCACAGAUGGUGACAAGCAAACACAACAAAUCUCUGCUCGUCUUAAUUUAUGGCCACAAAGUAUCAGCACUUGUGCACAUAUAUGUAAUAUUGUUUUAUUUGUAUAAACUUAACUUUAAAACAAGAACCAAUAUUUGUAAAUGGAAUAUGAAAGCUUGUUUUUCAUUGGAUUUCAGUUGAUGUUUGUGAGCCCCUUUGCAGAUAUGUGUAAUUGUAGAUAAUUUGGAUAAUUUUUGUUACAUUUAUCAGAAAACAAGACUUCUUAUCUUGUAAUUUUUGCAUCUAUCUUGAUUUUAAGAAUUUUUAGACAUUUGACAAAAAUACUGAGGAAGAACAUCACUUUUGUGCGUGAUCAGAAGGAGCAGUAAAAAUGAUUUAAUAUCCUUGUUAAGCUACUUUUUUGUGUGUAAAUUUAAUUAAAAAGUAACAUAUUGACAUAUUGUUUAAUUUAAUUCCUUACAUUCUCUGUACUUGUUCCAUUUUUUUUCAGUUUAAGUACGAUAAGUUUUUAGUUUUUGUUUUAAGUACUAAAAUGAAAAUUAAAAUAAAUGUAAAAACUACUACUAAUAUUACAAAAUUCUAAAUUUUACACUGUAGCUCAUCCAGGAAUUCCACGCAUACUACUGUUUGUACAGUAUGCAUCAGGGAUGUGAUGUGAUUUUGUGAUGUGAUGUAAAAUUUUUGUAUCUUGUAAAUGGUUUUCCAUUAAAGAAAAGCUCUAUGGUUUAAUAUUUAAAAUCAA
Long non-coding RNA from Carassius gibelio (silver crucian carp), 2103 nucleotides. RefSeq lists it as uncharacterized. The transcript has 10 exons. The record is from RefSeq and is a predicted model, not a curated record. Lineage: Eukaryota; Metazoa; Chordata; Actinopteri; Cypriniformes; Cyprinidae.